UCCCAGGGCAUCUGUUGUGACUGACACAGUUAGGACGGGUUUUUCUGUUCUUACUUGCGGAAUCGAUAUCAAGAGAUUUCAGAUGUGCAAUUUUUAUAAACAGGUUCAAGAAUUUCCCCUCGGGAUCAAUAA
This is a small nuclear RNA of Astyanax mexicanus (Mexican tetra), 132 nucleotides long. The record is from Ensembl. Lineage: Eukaryota; Metazoa; Chordata; Actinopteri; Characiformes; Acestrorhamphidae.